CAGUUCCUAAAGUUACGUCUCCAGCAUCUUCCCCUGUGAAGUCACCAGUCCCCAAAGUCGCGACCCCAACAUCUGCUCCCGUGAAGUCACCAGUUCCAAAAGCUACGACUCCAACAUCUGCUCCUGUGAAACCGCCAGUUCCAAAGGUUGCAACUCCAACGGUUGCACCGGCUAAACCACUGGUUCCCAAAGUUACAACUCCAACAGCUGCACCUGUGAAACCAAUAGUUCCAAAAACUACAACUCCAACAUCUGCUCCUUUGAAACCACCAGUUCCGAAAGCUCCCGCACCAAAACCUUCUCCUGUGAAACCACCAGUUCCAAAAUCAAAACCUCCAACAACUGCUCCUGUCAAAUCACCAGUUCCGGAUCCUCCAAAACUCGCUCCUGUAAAGUUGCCAGUCCCAAAGGUUACACCGGCAUUAAGCCCAAAAACCCCAUCCCCUAAAAUUCAACCACCACCACAUCCACCCAAAAAAGCACCUGUUUCUCUACCACCAUUAUCUAUACCACCUGUUUCACUUCCACCAUUACCAUUACCACCAGCUUCUAAACCACCAAAGGUAUCCCCAGCACCUGCAAAGGUUCCAAAAGCACCAGCACCGGCCAAAGAAGCACCAGCACCAGCACCUACACACAAAAAGAAAGCACCAGCACCCGCACCAGACAAAGAAACACCGGCACCAGCACCUACACACAAAAAGAAGAAAGCACCAAAAUCAUCACCUGUUCCUUCCCCAGCAAUUCUCCCACCAUCACCUGCACCAACACCUGCAAUAGACACACCAUCAUCAGCACCAGCACCAUCGCCUGAAGAUGAUGCGCCAGAACCACCGCCACCCCAC
RNAcentral lists this long non-coding RNA (845 nucleotides) under Medicago truncatula (barrel medic). RNAcentral describes it as "long non-coding RNA (MTRU_LNC006403)". Lineage: Eukaryota; Viridiplantae; Streptophyta; Magnoliopsida; Fabales; Fabaceae. The record is from RNAcentral.